This 777-nucleotide ribosomal RNA is filed under the name uncultured Neocallimastigales. RNAcentral describes it as "partial large subunit ribosomal RNA". It matches the Rfam family "Eukaryotic large subunit ribosomal RNA", at positions 24 to 649 of the family's 3401-position model. The record is from RNAcentral. Lineage: Eukaryota; Fungi; Neocallimastigomycota; Neocallimastigomycetes; Neocallimastigales.
UAUGUGAUCGUCUCUCGCAUAUCAAUAAGCGGAGGAAAAGAAACUAACAAGGAUUCCCCUAGUAACGGCGAGUGAAGCGGGAAGAGCUCAAAUUUGAAAUCUUAAAGGGUUUCCCUUUACGAAUUGUAGUUUAAAGAAGUGUUUUCUGUUGAGGUUUUGGUAAAGAGUUCUUUGGAAUAGGACAUCAUAGAGGGUGAGAAUCCCGUAUUUGACCUUUACUUUCAACUUUGUGAUACACUUUCAAAGAGUCGGAUUGUUUGGGAAUGCAGGUCCAAAAUGGGUGGUAAAUUUCAUCUAAAGCUAAAUAUUGGCGAGAGACCGAUAGCGAACAAGUACCGUGAGGGAAAGAUGAAAAGAACUUUGAAAAGAGAGUUAAACAGGUACGUGAAAUUGUCAAAAGGGAAGCGUUUGACACCAGUGUUGUUUUUCUGAAAAUCAAUUAAAGAACUGUUUAUGCUAAGUUGUUUAGACUUUAUCAGCUAACUGUUUAGUUUUGAGCUUUUCUUUAAUGCACUUUUCAGUUAACAAGUCAACAUCAAUUUCUUUUGCUGUAAAAAAGCUUGAGGAAGGUGGCUUGAGAUUCGUCUUAAGUGUUUAUAGCCUCUUGCCUAUGUAGUCGGAGAGAUUGAGGUCUGCAGCGUAGAUCCUUCGGGGCUAAAUGCAUUUGUGCUAAGUUAUAGCAUUUUAUAGACAACUUGUUGACUAUGAUUUGUCUUGUAGCUUACUCGCUUAUGUUAUUUUACCUACGCUUAGGAUGUUGAGUAGCGACAUACGCAC